This 599-nucleotide ribosomal RNA is filed under the name uncultured bacterium. RNAcentral describes it as "bacterial SSU rRNA". It matches the Rfam family "Bacterial small subunit ribosomal RNA", at positions 836 to 1434 of the family's 1533-position model. The record is from RNAcentral.
GUUUUCCGCGCCGUAGCUAACGCAUUAAGUGCCCCGCCUGGGGAGUACGGCCGCAAGGCUAAAACUCAAAGGAAUUGACGGGGGCCCGCACAAGCGGCGGAGCAUGCGGAUUAAUUCGAUGCAACGCGAAGAACCUUACCAAGGCUUGACAUGAACCGGUAACGCCUGGAGACAGGUGCCCCGCUUGCGGUCGGUUUACAGGUGGUGCAUGGUUGUCGUCAGCUCGUGUCGUGAGAUGUUGGGUUAAGUCCCGCAACGAGCGCAACCCUCGUUCUAUGUUGCCAGCACGUGAUGGUGGGGACUCAUAGGAGACUGCCGGGGUCAACUCGGAGGAAGGUGGGGACGACGUCAAAUCAUCAUGCCCCUUAUGUCUUGGGCUUCACGCAUGCUACAAUGGCCGGUACAAAGGGUUGCGAUACUGUGAGGUGGAGCUAAUCCCAAAAAGCCGGUCUCAGUUCGGAUUGGGGUCUGCAACUCGACCCCAUGAAGUCGGAGUCGCUAGUAAUCGCAGAUCAGCAACGCUGCGGUGAAUACGUUCCCGGGCCUUGUACACACCGCCCGUCAAGUCACGAAAGUUGGUAACACCCGAAGCCGGUGGC